RNAcentral lists this ribosomal RNA (452 nucleotides) under uncultured bacterium. RNAcentral describes it as "partial 16S ribosomal RNA". It matches the Rfam family "Bacterial small subunit ribosomal RNA", at positions 28 to 507 of the family's 1533-position model. The record is from RNAcentral.
GAUGAACGCUGGUGGCGUGCCUAACACAUGCAAGUCGAGCGAUUCUCUUCGGAGAAGAGCGGCGGACGGGUGAGUAACGCGUGGGUAACCUGCCCUGUACACACGGAUAACAUACCGAAAGGUAUGCUAAUACGAGAUAACAUGCUUUUAUCGCAUGGUAGAAGUAUCGAAGCUUUUGCGGUACAGGAUGGACCCGCGUCUGAUUAGCUAGUUGGUGAGGUAACGGCUCACCAAGGCGACGAUCAGUAGCCGACCUGAGAGGGUGAUCGGCCACAUUGGAACUGAGACACGGUCCAAACUCCUACGGGAGGCAGCAGUGGGGAAUAUUGCACAAUGGGCGAAAGCCUGAUGCAGCAACGCCGCGUGAGCGAUGAAGGCCUUCGGGUCGUAAAGCUCUGUCCUCAAGGAAGAUAAUGACGGUACUUGAGGAGGAAGCCCCGGCUAACUACGUG